GUGAAAAUGACGCCUUUCUUGCGGUCAAACUUUGGUAAACUUUUAGUUUGUUAUUAAGGAUAUCUAAUACUAUAAAAACAGCUGAGGAACCUUUGUUAGAAUUAUUUGGAGUCAAGUCAUAUUUGCACCUGACUAAAUACACUUAAGUAGAAAACACUUUUUGGAUGUAAUCCCUAUAAAAGUACAGCUUUGGAUUUACUGCCCAUAAUUUGCUGUUAAAUAAUAUUUAUUUUAAUGUCUGUAUUAGUGAUAGAGAGAUGUGUUUAAUGUGACUGUUGUGGCUUAAAAUAGCCGCUAGAGGGCGCGCUAUGCAAUAGACCUGAGCAAUGCUUUGGCUAAUCCUGAUGCUAAUGAGAUAGCAAUACAGUCAUGAAGUUUAUGACAUUUUAUGGAAGAAAUACGGCUUUAUUGUCGUGUUUAUUAGUCUGAAAGGGUUAAAAGUCAUUGUCAGAGAGUUCCAGAUCGCCGUGACCGGAGUAUUUGUUUCCUGUUGUUUUAUAUGAUCGAGGACUCCGGUGAGUGUAUAAGUUAGCAUGCUAAUCACUAACAGACGUGUAAUAGACGUUAUUUUAGUACAGUUUAUGACUAAGCAAUGUAAAACUUUGUCUUCUUGUUAAUCAAAAACCAAUUGUAGUGAACUGUUAAGGUGUACAGAUGCUGUAUUGAGUGAAUUUACAGAGUUUUACGGUUUAGAUUUGCGUUUAAAUUUUGCUGAGUCAUGUCUGGGUGCUUUGACGGUUAAAAAACCCGCCGCGCGCGCGUGCGUGCGUGCGUGUGUGUGUACUGAGGCCCAUGAUUGUCACGCAUGUGGGUGAUUUUCUUGAUUUUUUAUAUUUAUAUAUAUAAAUAAUAUGUUGAACUUCAUCUCGAGAUGGUUAAAAAUGCAUAAAUGUGUAUAAAAAAACAUGACUUAUUGGAGAUGUUAGAUGAAACGUGUAACAUGAUUUGAUAAUACUGUUAUGAAAAACACAAUGAUGUCUGAGGUUUUGAUGUCUCAGGACAUACAGUUCAUUGUUGUUUUUAUGACCAGUAUUGAGAGAUAUGAUACUGUACAGUAAUUCAUGAUUGAUCAUUUUAUUCUGCUUUACUUUAUUACACACACAUGCAGAAGUGGAAAAGGGACGAGACUUCAGGGAUGUACGUUCAUGCAGAAAUCACACAGGAUUGAAAAGAGGAGCAGGAAGACGUCAGGUGAGACCAAGAACAAACUUUUAUUUAUGCUGCCUGUAUUUCUAAACAUUAGUUUGACACUGAUUUUCUCUCAUCCUGCUCAGUUGGUUUCAUCUCAUCCAUCGCCAAAAUCCUUUCUUCGUCUUUCAAGUGACGGUAUUUCUCAACAUUAACUCCAGCAGAGAGCAGGCAUGGAGAUAUGAAGGGCUGUGAUGGUGAAACCUGCAGAUUUAAACCACACAGACAUAAUUUCAUUCAUAAGGGGACUCUGAACCUCUGAAACCACUCUGCAGGGUAUGGAGUUAUUCAUGCAGUCAGUAUUAUGUGGUGAGAAUGCCAUCAUGUGGCAGCUCGAACCAAAGACCUAUACUGUAAAAAGUUGAUCCUACUUUUUACUCUGAAACCAGCCCUUCUAACCAGAGCAGGAUCGGUGAUAAGAACUGAACUCCUCGUCACUCUUUGACUGAUUUCCUCUCCACUCCCCGUUGACGGCUCAGUAACUUAUUCCAGGUAAACUCUACGAACCCUGCAGCACUCUCUGUCGCACUCCGACAGCUCUGUAUCAUGUGAUUUACGGUUAUGGUGGCAUGUUAUUUAUGGAGGUCACUCCCUCAAAGUUGUUUGUUUUUGUUUUUAAUUUUAUCCGUUAAACAGAAAACUUGACGAUCUGUCGAAAACUGAAUCUUUUAUUUGAACCAAGUGUUGACUGACCCACUGUUCCUCCCGUCCUCGUACAUGAGAUGAGCAUGUGCGAUAGGAGGCUCGCUCGACCCGCCUGCAGCCCUGAUGCCGUAUCAGUUAGCGUGAUGCACCGGUGCGUGACUUCGUUGACAAGCGGCGAGGUCAUGUGGGCGUCUUCUGGAGUUGAAGUAUGCACAUUUUGACAACAUUUCUACCAGUCUGAAAGGUUUUCCCUUUGCCUUGUAGAGACACGCUGCAGCCCUGAAACAUUUUCAACAUUCCUCCUGACGGCCUUUCUGCUGCAGACCACGCUGAGAGCGACAGCUUUUGAGCGCAGUGACAGAUGAGCCCUGUACGACGUGCAGAUAGUUCAGAGCUCCUGACAGCUGCAGGGGCUCCCAGUCUGACGAGGGGUUACUAUUCAGGCAGGUAAAUGUGGGCGCUCUUGUUUUGUUCACGUUAGAUUUAGAGGUUUAAAUGGAGUUUGAUUUCACCUUUGACCUUUCACUGUAAACUUACAAAACAAAAAAAACAAAGCAUGAAACCAAACAAAAAAGAUUUACAGCGAGAUAUUUGCAGAGGUAUUUUACUGCCAGAGACGUCAAACACAAGUACAGCACAGGUGUCCCAGUUUACAAACACCUGUUACUAAUGAUGUGAUAAAACCAGUUUAAUCCAGUUCAAAGAGCACAGGUGAGAGACAGACGAAAUCAAAGAUGGAUGGAGACAAUCUGAGAGCCGGAGGAGGACAAAUGUGUGAGAGACGGCCGACCAUGAGGAGAGAGGCUCUGUCUCUGAGUUUACCAUCUUUGCAGAGCAACAUGUGCAAUCUUAGUACUUCUGGGUCAGACCCUGGCCCUGUACUCAUGUAGGGUACGGGUCCUACGUGUCAAAAUGACGCAGACUGGAAGCCCUGUGAUUGGUCCGCUUGAUCUCAGACACUUCCAGUAUCCCUCAUCAGCUUUAACUUAAGUGUAAUACGCUCAGAUUCAGUCGCCAUGGUUUCCUGUGAACAAGUGAGGAGGGUACGAUGCAGAAGCGUAAACCAGACCAAACUUAUUGGCGCUGAUACUUUUUUACAUCCAGGUCAAACUUUCUUCCUCGAAGGCGACUUUCGUGAAUCUUCGGUUACCGCUCCUCUAAAUCCCUCCCCCCUCCGCUCUCCUCCAAUCCUCAUUCAGGACUGUAAGACGCCCUCAGCGACUGUGACCCCUGUCACUGUGACCAUCUCAACAACAAUCAUCAUCACAUGAUUCCUGCGCCGUGUUGAGUAACUGGUUGUGAUUAACUAACAUGAGCCAAAGUCAAUAAAACAUGAUCUUGUUGACGUGUUUGGCUCCCAGGCUGUCAGCUUUCAUACUAAUGAGAAAAUGAAACCUGAUCCUCGGAGUGUUUUCAUAUAAUUACCCAUCAUGCUUUUCGUAAUAAGCCUCUUCUGUUAUUUCUUAAGAUGUCACAUGCUCCAGUUCUCGAGGUUAUCUGAAACGUGUCAUGUGACCAUCUGAUGUCAGAUCCUCAUCGUGCGCUGAUGGCAGUGUGAGAUUCGUUAUUUAACUCUUUCUAUUGAUUCUGGUGUCAUAUUCUCGUCAGGUGCAGAUGAUCAGGUGAGAUGUGGGACAUGUGACGCCCUCCAGCCUCUCCUCAGGUAUGUUGAGGGCUGCUCACUGAUUGGCUGCUCAGAUACUCUGCUCCACCAGGUGUUAUCUUUCCUCAACGCCUCAUUCUGAGAAAGCGUCUUCUCUUUCCCUCCACAUCACUCUGACACGGUUCAGCUCUUCAGUCCUGAAUACUUGUUUUUGUAAAUGAUGUGUUUUCGGUCUGAACACACAAACAGGAGCGAACGUUUGACCUUCUGUGGAGCGAUGUACCGAUGAUCCCCAGGCCCUCCGACCAAUCACUUACCAGCUCAGGUCGUUUUGUAACAGGUGGACGCCUUGUGUGUCAGAUACAGAUCUGAGAGCAGAGACGGGAAGAAGAUAAGUCCACAUUCCCAUACCUCCCUCACUCUGUUCAGCCCGGAGCUCCUCUGAGGUUUCCUCCGCUCUGAAGUCAGAAAAACCUCAAAACAUUGAGCUCGACGUGAACGUGAACUGAAUGUGAACUCCAACAACAACGACAAUCAUGGGUUUCCAUCUUCAUUUUUGGAAGAUAAUAAAGUCACUAAAUAUUAUCAGUUAAAUACGCAGAAAACAACAUGAAACACGGACCUGUCGCAGCUUCAUCACCUGGUUAAACACCGUUUAGACCUCAGACUCAGUCCUGUUCACUGUCAUGUUUCAUCCCGUCACAAAAAUGUUGUAUUAUGAUGAUUAGACCAACAUUCAUGGUGAUGAAAGAACAAAAUCACAGUUUUAUUUUCUUAUCUAAAAUAUGAUACCACCAACCCGUUUACAAAAGUUAGGAAAGAGACAAUAAAACAGAGAAAAAGUUGUUUACAAUAAAAAAAAGACCAUCACCUGAAGUUCGAGUGCAUAGGGAGCUCUGACAUGGUGUAGGUUCAUCACUCUGUGAGUGACUGCGUGAGCAGACAGUUCAACAGUUUCCUUUCUGCAGUGACUGAACUCUAUUUUUGUAUUUACUAAGACUGUCAUGAAUUUCACCUCACGAUCACCGUGGUCAUAAGAUAUCACAAGUACGAUAUUAUCACAAGGUUCAGAGAAAAUAGCUGCAACAGCUAACCAGCUAACAGUCCGCUCCUUCUUCUUCCUCUCUCCUCUGUUUUAGAUGUAUGUCAGCCCAAGAAGUCAGUGUUCCUUUUGCUUGUUUUUAGUGUUAUGAACAGAGAUCCAGAUCAGGAUAGACACUGAGAGGAUGAGGUGUGUGUGUUAGUAAAGCAGAUGGACUGAGGGAGCAGAGAGGGUGAAACAAAAGCGUCUGUUAGUCUUUCUGUGGUCGUGGACGAGACUCUGUCUCUGAGAUGUUUGCAUGCUGUCCCGGGACAUUCAGGGGUACCUUCAGGGGUUCCUUCGGGGGACUUUGGCGUCUUCCCAUGUUCUGAUCACGCCUGUCGGGUUACCCGGUAAAUAUAUUACCCAUGACUCUGAAUGUUGGAAGCGGUUUGGAUGAUGGAUGGAUUAUAUUAUGACUCCAUAGAUGAACUUACUUGCACAGGCAGCUGUUUUUACAUUGCACACAUUCUCAGCCUGAUAUGAGCAUGCAGACCCCCCCACAGUACAGUAUAGUCGUCCCACCGUACAUUAGUGUGAAAUACCUGUACGGCUUUCUAAUGUAUGUUAUCUCUGAGUUUCAUCACAGGCAGGUUUGGUCUUGUGUUUAUCUCGUCUCAUCUGGUGCCAGGCCUCUUGUAGCCUCCAUGGUGUUACUAUUGAUGCCCGUCCUCCGCUGAUGUAAAGAUUGUGUUAUCGUUGGGGCCCCGGAGCCAGCCUGCUGCACUGAUGGAGCGACAAGGAGCACCCACUUCCACGGUGAGAAAAAAAUCUGUGGCACGCACACUCUGACUUCUCUUCUGAGAGUCGAACCAACAAACUCAUGUAGCCUUUAUUUACAAGAAAAAAACUUUAGACUGUGUUUUAAAUGUGAAUAAAAGCAGAAUUUAAUAGUAAUGUGAACAUUUCCGAUGUUUUAGAUCCUGUGGACCGUGCUCUUCGUUCAGAAUCUUUAUAACGUCGGCCUUGGUCCUGUCACGUUUAAAUUUCUUUCUUGC
Non-coding RNA from Xyrichtys novacula (pearly razorfish), 5515 nucleotides. The record is from the annotation of a GenBank genome assembly. NCBI's taxonomy places the organism in Eukaryota, Metazoa, Chordata, Actinopteri, Labriformes, Labridae.